RNAcentral lists this ribosomal RNA (600 nucleotides) under Robertmurraya beringensis. RNAcentral's name for it is "bacterial SSU rRNA". It matches the Rfam family "Bacterial small subunit ribosomal RNA", at positions 36 to 620 of the family's 1533-position model. The record is from RNAcentral. Lineage: Bacteria; Bacillati; Bacillota; Bacilli; Caryophanales; Bacillaceae.
CAUGGGGGCGUCCUAAUACAUGCAAGUCGAGCGAAUCUGAGGGAGCUUGCUCCCAAAGAUUAGCGGCGGACGGGUGAGUAACACGUGGGCAACCUGCCUGUAAGACUGGGAUAACUCCGGGAAACCGGGGCUAAUACCGGAUAAUAUCUAUUUAUACAUAUAAUUAGAUUGAAAGAUGGUUCUGCUAUCACUUACAGAUGGGCCCGCGGCGCAUUAGCUAGUUGGUGAGGUAACGGCUCACCAAGGCGACGAUGCGUAGCCGACCUGAGAGGGUGAUCGGCCACACUGGGACUGAGACACGGCCCAGACUCCUACGGGAGGCAGCAGUAGGGAAUCUUCCGCAAUGGACGAAAGUCUGACGGAGCAACGCCGCGUGAGUGAUGAAGGUUUUCGGAUCGUAAAACUCUGUUGUUAGGGAAGAACAAGUACCGGAGUAACUGCCGGUACCUUGACGGUACCUAACCAGAAAGCCACGGCUAACUACGUGCCAGCAGCCGCGGUAAUACGUAGGUGGCAAGCGUUGUCCGGAAUUAUUGGGCGUAAAGCGCGCGCAGGCGGUUCCUUAAGUCUGAUGUGAAAGCCCACGGCUCAACCGUGGAG